AGGCCUGCAGAGAGAGAGAGGCAGGGUCUGAUCCACAGCCUCUGUGGCAGCUGUUGAUCAGCUGUUGCCUCUCUCUUUCUCUCCC
Myotis lucifugus (little brown bat) is the source of this 85-nucleotide microRNA precursor. It matches the Rfam family "mir-574 microRNA precursor family". NCBI's taxonomy places the organism in Eukaryota, Metazoa, Chordata, Mammalia, Chiroptera, Vespertilionidae. The record is from Rfam.